CCUACGGGGGGCAGCAGUAGGGAAUCUUUCACAAUGGGCGAAAGCCUGAUGGAGCAACGCCGCGUGCAGGAUGAAGGCCUUCGGGUUGUAAACUGCUUUUAUAAGCGGGAAAUAUGAUGGUAACUUAUGAAUAAGGAUCGGCUAACUACGUGCCAGCAGCCGCGGUCAUACGUAGGAUCCGAGCAUUAUCCGGAGUGACUGGGUGUAAAGAGUUGCGUAGGUGGCAUAAUAAGUAGCUAGUGAAAUCUGGUGGCUCAACCAUUCAGACUAUUAGCUAAACUGUUAAGCUCGAGACCGUUAGGGGUAACUGGAAUUUCUAGUGUAGGAGUGAAAUCCGUAGAUAUUAGAAGGAACACCGAUAGCGUAGGCAGGUUGCUGGGACGGUUCUGACACUAAGGCACGAAAGCGUAGGGAGCAAACGGGAUUAGAUACCCGAGUAGUC
This 442-nucleotide ribosomal RNA is filed under the name uncultured bacterium. RNAcentral's name for it is "partial 16S ribosomal RNA". It matches the Rfam family "Bacterial small subunit ribosomal RNA", at positions 338 to 795 of the family's 1533-position model. The record is from RNAcentral.